AUUCUUGAUACGUUGUUUCUUACACAUUAUCUAGUUUUGAGAGAAUCCAUUCUUUCAACAUAGUUGAACAAAGAGAACCAAGAGAUUCGAGGAAGCAACCGUACGAAUGCCCGGAGCGUAUGUGAUGAUACGUGAGGACAUGAGAAGGGAAGCUGACGAAGAAGAUCGUAGGUUAUCUGAUGUUCAAACAAAUAGUCUGGUGGCGAUAGCGAAGAGGCCACACCCGUUCCCAUGCCGAACACGGUCGUUAAGCUCUUCAGCGCCGAUGGUAGUUGGGGGCUUCCCCCUGUGAGAGUAGGACGUUGCCGGGC
Molecule: ribosomal RNA, 311 nt
Filed under: Halalkalibacter nanhaiisediminis
Lineage: Bacteria; Bacillati; Bacillota; Bacilli; Caryophanales; Bacillaceae
Source: RNAcentral